This 22-nucleotide small nuclear RNA is filed under the name Arabidopsis thaliana (thale cress). RNAcentral describes it as "snRNA_13108". The record is from RNAcentral. Lineage: Eukaryota; Viridiplantae; Streptophyta; Magnoliopsida; Brassicales; Brassicaceae.
UGUUUAUAAUUGGACAGAAGUU